GACGAACGCUGGCGGCGUGCCUAAUACAUGCGAGUCGAACGAACCGCGACUAGGUGCUUGCACUUGGUCAAGGUGAGUGGCGAACGGGUGAGUAACACGUGGGUAACCUACCUCAUAGUGGGGGAUAACAGUCGGAAACGACUGCUAAUACCGCAUAGGACAUAGGAUCACAUGAUUCUGUGAGGAAAGGUGGCGCAAGCUAUCGCUAAGAGAUGGACCCGCGGUGCAUUAGCUAGUUGGUAGGGUAAAGGCCUACCAAGGCGAUGAUGCAUAGCCGACCUGAGAGGGUGAUCGGCCACAUUGGGACUGAGACACGGCCCAAACUCCUACGGGAGGCAGCAGUAGGGAAUCUUCCGCAAUGGACGCAAGUCUGACGGAGCAACGCCGCGUGAGUGAAGAAGGUCUUCGGAUCGUAAAGCUCUGUUGUUAGAGAAGAACAGCGCAUAGAGUAACUGUUAUGCGUGUGACGGUAUCUAACCAGAAAGCCACGGCUAACUACGUG
RNAcentral lists this ribosomal RNA (502 nucleotides) under uncultured bacterium. RNAcentral's name for it is "partial 16S ribosomal RNA". It matches the Rfam family "Bacterial small subunit ribosomal RNA", at positions 28 to 507 of the family's 1533-position model. The record is from RNAcentral.